This is a long non-coding RNA of Spea bombifrons (plains spadefoot toad), 507 nucleotides long. RefSeq lists it as uncharacterized. The record is from RefSeq and is a predicted model, not a curated record. The transcript is spliced from 2 exons. Lineage: Eukaryota; Metazoa; Chordata; Amphibia; Anura; Pelobatidae.
UGAAGUGUUAGUCGCUGGUUCCAUGGCACGUUGUCAAGUAACAUGCGCUACUCAUUUAACCCCUUGUACGCAUGUAGCAAACAACGCAGAAUCUCUUUGUAGCUAACACUAUUUUCAAUUAACAGCCGUGGCUUACUGAACUGACCACCGAAAGGCUUGAUUUACUUAGACAGGCAGCGGUUGUUCAUUGAAAAUCGUGUUGCAAUAAUCUAAUUAAAACCACGUCUAGAAGUCUAGCAAAUAACAUUCUAACGUGUGCUGUUUUUCUAGGGAGCGCGGUGCUUGUCUGUCCGCUCAGCUUUCAUCAUCUUGGUUCUGCUCCCUGAGAAUUUCAUUUUAGACAAGUGGUUUAAUAGCGAUUGGUAGAAGACCCUCAACAUUUGAAGACGCCUGGGCUGAUUCAAUGUGCUGAAUUGCUGCUUUUAACAAAACGUUUUAAUCAUUUCAUUGACGUAUAAAAGGUAUCUGCUAUUUCGAGGGCUACUAAUAAAACACUUUUCCACUGUG